This 192-nucleotide unclassified non-coding RNA is filed under the name uncultured fungus. RNAcentral's name for it is "sequence contains ITS1, 5.8S rRNA gene". The record is from RNAcentral. Lineage: Eukaryota; Fungi.
CCAAAUCAACGGCCGAAAGGCCUUGCCCUAGGGGGGGAAACCCCCCGACGGUAAACCCUUUGUGAAAACCCUUCGUUUGCCUCGGCGGCACCUUUACCCCCUUCGGGGGGCGGAGGGUCAGCCCGCCGACGGCACCUUUAGAAACCCUUUAUUGAAAAGAAGAAUGUCUGAAUCAAUGGUCGAAUGACUAUA